UACAGAGGGUGCAAGCGUUGUUCGGAAUUAUUGGGCGUAAAGGGAGUGUAGGCGGCUUGUUAAGUCUUCUGUGAAAUCUACGGGCUCAGCCUGUAACGUGCAGAGGAAACUGGCGAGCUUGAGUGUCGGAGAGGAUAGGGGAAUACCCGGUGUAGAGGUGAAAUUCGUAGAGAUCGGGUGGAACACCAGUGGCGAAGGCGCCUAUCUGGCUGACAACUGACGCUGAGACUCGAAAGCGUGGGGAGCGAACCGG
Molecule: ribosomal RNA, 253 nt
Filed under: uncultured bacterium
Lineage: Bacteria
Description: partial 16S ribosomal RNA
Rfam family: Bacterial small subunit ribosomal RNA
Source: RNAcentral